UACACAAGUUAAAGGUGCAUCAUUCCA
This 27-nucleotide non-coding RNA is filed under the name Homo sapiens (human). Lineage: Eukaryota; Metazoa; Chordata; Mammalia; Primates; Hominidae. The record is from RNAcentral.